RNAcentral lists this long non-coding RNA (235 nucleotides) under Homo sapiens (human). Its description in RNAcentral is "non-protein coding lnc-CYP7B1-8:1". Lineage: Eukaryota; Metazoa; Chordata; Mammalia; Primates; Hominidae. The record is from RNAcentral.
UCUUAACAUAAUUUAUUUAAACAAAAGAGCACAGGGAUGAAAUGAAGGCAUACAUACAUACAUAUGACAUGCUUGUCUAACAACCAAAAGCCAGUCACAUCGAUUAGGACUUGCUUUGUUAAUUCACCUUGAAAAUUGAAAAUUGACAUCUUUUCAUUAAUUCUUUAAACUAACAACUCUCGUAUCCACAAGAAUAUAUGAAUAUGGCACUGUGAGAACCAAUGAUCCAGAGACA